AGAGAGAGACAUGCGCGCAUAUCAAUAAGCGGAGGAAAAGAAACUAACUAAGGAUUCCCUCAGUAACGGCGAGUGAAGCGGGAAGAGCUCAAAUUUGAAAUCUUCAAGGUUCUACCUUGACGAAUUGUAGUUUAAAGAAGUGUUUUCUGUUGGAGUUUUGGUAAAAGUUCUUUGGAAUAGGACAUCAUAGAGGGUGAGAAUCCCGUAUUUGACCAUUAUUUCCAGCUUUGUGAUACACUUUCAAAGAGUCGGAUUGUUUGGGAAUGCAGUCCAAAAUGGGUGGUAAAUUUCAUCUAAAGCUAAAUAUUGGCGAGAGACCGAUAGCGAACAAGUACCGUGAGGGAAAGAUGAAAGGAACUUUGAAAAGAGAGUUAAACAGUACGUGAAAUUGUCAAAAGGGAAGCGUUUGACACCAGUGUUGUUUUCUCGAAAAUCAAUUAAAAAAGGCAGGAUUUUGUGUUGUAUUGACUUUAUCAGCUUUCUGCACUCUUUCUUGUCUUUUUUAAUGCACUUUUCGUUUAACAAGUCAACAUCAAUUUCUUUUGUUGUAAAAGGGUCAUUGGAAGGUGGCUUUCUUUUCGGAGAAAGUGUUUAUAGCCUUUGGCCUCUGCAAUCGGAGAGAUUGAGGUCUGCAGCGUAGAUCCUUCGGGGUUAGAUACAUUUGUGCUAAGUUAUAGCCUUUCAUAGACAACUUGUUGACUAUGAUCAGUCAUGUAGCUUACUCGCUUAUGCUAUUUUACCUACGCUUAGGAUGUUGAUGUGAUACUGCGAGCA
RNAcentral lists this ribosomal RNA (774 nucleotides) under uncultured Neocallimastigales. Its description in RNAcentral is "partial large subunit ribosomal RNA". It matches the Rfam family "Eukaryotic large subunit ribosomal RNA", at positions 23 to 643 of the family's 3401-position model. Lineage: Eukaryota; Fungi; Neocallimastigomycota; Neocallimastigomycetes; Neocallimastigales. The record is from RNAcentral.